CGAUCUGAGCGCGUGCUAUUGAACGUUUGCGCGAUACGCAAGCAAGCAGCACCCACUUCCCACACCAGCGUGCGCAGGUUUCGGGCAUCAUCCAUCAUGGUCUCUCACGGGCACGGAAGGUCCUGCGCGCUCGUUUUGGUGCUGAUGCUGCUCUCCGCAGUGCUCGUCACUGAAGCUAGCGACGAUAUGCCGGAGCAUAGCGAAGCCUGGCGAUGGCCGCGCAAGGCUAACCCCAUUGGGUCGUUCUUUGGCCACAUAAUCGAGGGCGUUGCGGAGGGGGUCACCAACUUCGUCCUCAACAUUAUCUCCUCCGACAGCUCCGACGCCCCCAAGCCGUCGGGGGAGACGUCUCGUCGGUGACGGUGCAUGGCGUGAGGAGAAUGUUCACAGCUGACGUAGUGAUCGUGCUGCAUUGAGUGCAAGACAACGGCCCGCCGUCGCGUCGUCCUCCUCCCCCCCAACUGAGGAAACUGCCAGCCAGUGGUUUCAAAUAAAAGUUUUGUCCAUCUAUUUACUACGAA
Molecule: long non-coding RNA, 521 nt
Filed under: Dermacentor andersoni
Lineage: Eukaryota; Metazoa; Arthropoda; Arachnida; Ixodida; Ixodidae
Description: uncharacterized LOC126531332
Source: RNAcentral